UGAUGUAUUAGUUAGUACUAAGAUUAUUUAUCUCACUAUUUCUAUCAUAAUAAUGAAAUAAAUUAUCCUAUAUAUAUAAUUGAAUAGCUAAAUUCAAAAUUAGUUAUCUCAAAAUAACUCUAUUCCAAACAAACAAAGAAGAUGUAUCUAUUUUAGUCUGAACAGAACCAAUGGGGAAGGUCCCUAACAGGAACCGCACUUCCUAUAACUGGAUCUGGCACCUCCAUGUCCCCAACAAGAUCAAAACCUUCAUGUGGCUCUUACACCACAACAGCCUCCAGACCAAAGUCAGUCUUUCCAAGUGGGGCCUGAAAAUUGUCUCUCUUGCAACUUAGAUAAUGAGGACCAGCACCACAUUUUCUUUGGUUGCAACACUGCCAAAGCCUUUUGGCUUUACCUUAUCCAUAAAUAUAAGGGAAACCUUCAUCUUCACCUAUCAAUGUUUGACACUAACAACUGGUCUUCCACUUGAAAAACUCUUAGCAAAGAUUCCUUUGACACCAACACUCCCUAGGGCACUCUCCUACUCUUUUGCUUAUGGCACCUUUGGAAAGUUAGAAAUGCUCAUAACUUUCAAGACUCAAACUUCCCCCUAGCUUCAGCAUCCCCCAUGCGAAAGCGGUGGAGUAUCACUACCUUGGCAACCCCACAAAUCAUCACCCUGCCAAUGUCACCUGUGUGAAGUGGUUACCCCCUGCCCCUAACACCUAUAAGCUGAACACUGAUGGUUCAUGUCUUGUGACUCGGGAAAAGGGGGAAUUGGAGAGGUAUUUAGGAAUAGCAGAUGAGGCUGGGUCAGCAAGAGUUUCAUUUAUGCCACUAACAACCUUAUGGAGCUUCUUGCUCUCAAAGAGGGUCUCCAACUAGUUUUGGAUCACAACCUGCAGCCCUUAGAUGUGAGCAUUGACUCUAUGAAAAUAAUUAACAUGCUGCACCGGAGAAACUUACUAUAUGAUUCAAUUAUUUAUGCAUGCAGGUCUCUACUAAGGAGUUUGGGGAAUCCUCCGGUCUACCACACAUAUCGGGAGCAGAAUAGAGUAGCGGAUUGGAUGACUAAGCAGAGAUCAAAGCAAAAGCUUUUGAAUAAAAUGCAUAUUUUCGUAACUCCGCCUGUUAAUGUAGGAGUAAUCUUUUGAAAGGACUUAACGAGCAAGUCCUUCCCACGAACUACAAAUUGUAAUGGGCACUUAAUACCCAGUGUUUAUCAUUUUGAGCUUGGUUAGACUAUUUCUCUUGUAAAAAACUCUUUUAUUAAUGUAAAUCUCUCCUAUUUACCAAAAAAAAAAAAAAAAAAGAACCCAUGGGGAAGUAUUUGUGGUCCUAAAAAUCAAAGAUUAAAAUGGUACCACUAUUUUUAUGGACCACGUCACAUUUGUAUAUAAACUUCCACGUGGAUAGAUCAGAAGCUUAUACUAAUCUGUGUUCACAUGUGAAGAAA
RNAcentral lists this long non-coding RNA (1438 nucleotides) under Capsicum annuum. RNAcentral's name for it is "long non-coding RNA (CANN_LNC006173)". Lineage: Eukaryota; Viridiplantae; Streptophyta; Magnoliopsida; Solanales; Solanaceae. The record is from RNAcentral.